This 233-nucleotide ribosomal RNA is filed under the name uncultured bacterium. Its description in RNAcentral is "partial 16S ribosomal RNA". It matches the Rfam family "Bacterial small subunit ribosomal RNA", at positions 333 to 562 of the family's 1533-position model. The record is from RNAcentral.
CGACUCCUACGGGAGGCAGCAGUGAGGAAUAUUGGUCAAUGGGCGGAAGCCUGAACCAGCCAAGUCGCGUGAGGGAAUAAGGCCCUACGGGUCGUAAACCUCUUUUGCCGGGGAGCAAGGGCCGGGACGCGUCCCGGCCCGGAGAGUACCCGGAGAAAAAGCAUCGGCUAACUCCGUGCCAGCAGCCGCGGUAAUACGGAGGAUGCGCGCGUUAUCCGUAUUUAUUGGGUUUA